UACGUAGGGUGCGAGCGUUGUCCGGAAUUAUUGGGCGUAAAGAGCUUGUAGGCGGUUUGUCGCGUCUGCCGUGAAAAUCCGGGGCUCAACCCCGGACUUGCGGUGGGUACGGGCAGACUAGAGUGUGGUAGGGGAGACUGGAAUUCCUGGUGUAGCGGUGAAAUGCGCAGAUAUCAGGAAGAACACCCGUGGCGAAGGCGGCUCUCUGGAACGCAACUGACGCUGAGACGCGAAAGCGUGGGGAGCAAACAGG
RNAcentral lists this ribosomal RNA (253 nucleotides) under uncultured bacterium. RNAcentral describes it as "partial 16S ribosomal RNA". It matches the Rfam family "Bacterial small subunit ribosomal RNA", at positions 524 to 776 of the family's 1533-position model. The record is from RNAcentral.